UAUAUUUAAUGAAGGAUCGUCAAUAUGUACUAUUAAUUAAGUUAAACGUAUAUAUUAAUCAGAACGGAAUAGAUAUGAAAAUACCAAACAGGAUGUACUGCUUAAUCAAAGGGAUACGCUGGGCAAUGCAUAUUGUUAAUAUUUUUUUUAUAAUAAUACGGAUUGUACUACGUUAUUUAAUUCACCAGUCAGAUGUUAUGGUACAAUAUUCAUAAUUCUACGAACUUUUCAUCAUGUAUAUUAUAAUUAUCAUGAUUAAAUAACCAGUAAAUUUAAUAUUUUUGUACAUAAAAUUUUGAAGCUAAAACGCC
This 311-nucleotide long non-coding RNA is filed under the name Mytilus galloprovincialis (Mediterranean mussel). Lineage: Eukaryota; Metazoa; Mollusca; Bivalvia; Mytilida; Mytilidae. The record is from RNAcentral.